GACGAACGCUGGCGGCGUGCUUAACACAUGCAAGUCGAGCGGUAAGGCCCUUUCGGGGGUACACGAGCGGCGAACGGGUGAGUAACACGUGGGUGACCUGCCCUCAGCUCUGGGAUAAGCCUGGGAAACCGGGUCUAAUACUGGAUAUGACUCCAUGACGCAUGUUGUGGGGUGGAAAGCCUUGUGCGGCUGAGGAUGGGCCCGCGGCCUAUCAGCUUGUUGGUGGGGUGANGGCCUACCAAGGCGACGACGGGUAGCCGGCCUGAGAGGGCGACCGGCCACACUGGGACUGAGACACGGCCCAGACUCCUACGGGAGGUAGCAGUGGGGAAUCUUGCGCAAUGGGCGAAAGCCUGACGCAGCGACGCCGCGUGAGGGAUGACGGCCU
RNAcentral lists this ribosomal RNA (388 nucleotides) under uncultured bacterium. RNAcentral's name for it is "bacterial SSU rRNA". It matches the Rfam family "Bacterial small subunit ribosomal RNA", at positions 28 to 417 of the family's 1533-position model. The record is from RNAcentral.